Helianthus annuus (common sunflower) is the source of this 361-nucleotide long non-coding RNA. RefSeq lists it as uncharacterized. The transcript has 3 exons. Lineage: Eukaryota; Viridiplantae; Streptophyta; Magnoliopsida; Asterales; Asteraceae. The record is from RefSeq and is a predicted model, not a curated record.
CAAGAACACAGGGGCGAUCAGGGGGUUUCUUUUCAAACCCUAAGUUUCACAAAAUCUCACAAAUUGGAAGCCUAAAUCAAGUCUAAAUCAAAAACUGAAUACGUAUUAGCGAUCACCUCGGCGAAGGGAUCGCAAGGUAAAGAAUCCGGAUCGUCAAGCGAACAAGUCGGAGGUGAUACGUGUUUGAAGGGUGUGCUUUAAAGGUGAUGAUGGACUUAAUCCGGAUGGCGAUCAAGCACAAUUCGAAGAACCGAAAACGAUAUUUUGAAGCUUCCGCGAUUACUUAAUUAUGUCUAAAACAAUGUCUAUGUAGUUAACACUUAAAUACUUGUUUUGGGAUUGCUAAACUAGUAGUACUUAU